Molecule: RNase P RNA, 370 nt
Filed under: Candidatus Wolfebacteria bacterium CG03_land_8_20_14_0_80_40_12
Lineage: Bacteria; Candidatus Wolfeibacteriota
Description: RNase P RNA component class A
Rfam family: Bacterial RNase P class A
About the family: Ribonuclease P (RNase P) is a ubiquitous endoribonuclease, found in archaea, bacteria and eukarya as well as chloroplasts and mitochondria.
Source: RNAcentral
UCGGCAAGUCAAGCGAUAGCCCCCCUAAAUUUUGCUUCGCAAAAUUUAGGGGGGAGGAAAGUCCGGACGCCUAGAAAAAAGUAGCGGCUAACAGCCGUCGCUCCGGCACCGGUCGGAGUAGAGGUGCGAACAGAAACGUCCUGAGGUGAAAACCAAAGGAAGACCAAACCCCAAAAAGUUGGUCUAACUCUGCUAUGGGGAUAAAAAGGCGGAGAUGAAACGGCUAAAUCCUUACCGGGCGCAAGGUCGUAUCCCCCACCACUUUUACUCGUAAAAGUGGUGGGGGAGGUACCGCUUGAGCCUAAGAGUAAUUGAUGGCCCAGACAAAUUAUCGCUGAAUACAGAAUCCGGCUUAUGACUUGCCGGUUUU